UAUAAGUUAAUUUAAUUUAAAAUAUUGACCUGUGGAGUCAAUUAUGGCAACCCCCACUUAUAU
Molecule: transfer RNA, 63 nt
Filed under: Syllis sp. JYC-2022
Lineage: Eukaryota; Metazoa; Annelida; Polychaeta; Phyllodocida; Syllidae
Description: tRNA-His
Source: RNAcentral